GCGCCCAGGCUCCACCAGUCACAGGCUUCUGUCUCUUCUAGGAUAGCUCCAACCUCUGGGGCACAGUACAUUCUCUCUAUGGCAUCGUUGUCACAGGAAUCUUCAACCUCCCUCCACCUGCUAAAAUACGUUAGCUGAAUGUGUCCUCUAUCAUUCAAUAAGAUGUUGUUUGGGUUCAAAUCGCGGCACACAAUUCCUUCUCUAUGUAAAGCAUCAAGGGCUACAACCAUUUCAGCUGCCCAUCUUUGAAUGCAGUCCUCUGGGAUAUAAAACCUGGAGGUUAUCGCUAAUCUUUCAUCAAGGUCCUGAAAAAU
RNAcentral lists this long non-coding RNA (314 nucleotides) under Gallus gallus (chicken). Lineage: Eukaryota; Metazoa; Chordata; Aves; Galliformes; Phasianidae. The record is from RNAcentral.